RNAcentral lists this ribosomal RNA (722 nucleotides) under uncultured archaeon. RNAcentral's name for it is "bacterial SSU rRNA". It matches the Rfam family "Archaeal small subunit ribosomal RNA", at positions 137 to 859 of the family's 1478-position model. The record is from RNAcentral.
AAACUGAGGCUAAUACCGGAUAGGCAAUUUUUCCUGUAAUGGUUUUUUGUUUAAAUGUUUUUUCGCCUAAGGAUGGGUCUGCGGCCGAUUAGGUAGUUGGUUAGGUAAUGGCUUACCAAGCCGUUGAUCGGUACGGGUUGUGAGAGCAAGAGCCCGGAGAUGGAACCUGAGACAAGGUUCCAGGCCCUACGGGGUGCAGCAGGCGCGAAACCUCCGCAAUGUGAGAAAUCGCGACGGGGGGAUCCCAAGUGCCAUUCUUAACGGGAUGGCUUUUCAUUAGUGUAAAGAGCUUUUGGAAUAAGAGCUGGGCAAGACCGGUGCCAGCCGCCGCGGUAACACCGGCAGCUCUAGUGGUAGCAAUUUUUAUUGGGCCUAAAGCGUCCGUAGCCGGUUUAAUAAGUCUCUGGUGAAAUCCUGUAGCUUAACUGUGGGAAUUGCUGGAGAUACUAUUAGACUUGAGACCGGGAGAGGUUGGAGGUACUCCCAGGGUAGAGGUGAAAUUCUGUAAUCCUGGGAGGACCGCCUGUUGCGAAGGCGUCUAACUGGAACGGUUCUGACGGUGAGGGACGAAAGUUAGGGGCGCGAACCGGAUUAGAUACCCGGGUAGUCCUAACUGUAAACGAUGCGGACUUGGUGUUGGGGUGGCUUUGAGCUGCUCCAGUGCCGAAGGGAAGCUGUUAAGUCCGCCGCCUGGGAAGUACGGUCGCAAGACUGAAACUUAA